RNAcentral lists this long non-coding RNA (3453 nucleotides) under Panax ginseng (ginseng). RNAcentral describes it as "long non-coding RNA (PGIN_LNC012480)". The record is from RNAcentral. Lineage: Eukaryota; Viridiplantae; Streptophyta; Magnoliopsida; Apiales; Araliaceae.
UUCGAAAAUGUUCCCCCAUUAUUUUCACGCCUGCCCUCUCCCUCAAUUUACACUCCCUCAGAUUAGAAAAUACAAUCAGUCGAGCCCAAAUCCCCCAUUUCCCAGUUUUGUUUUCCAACUCUCUAAUCCCUCGUUUCACAACCCAUUGUUGAAGCCAGUCCUCUCUCCCCUUUGUGCCACUGCCGAUCUACCAUCUUAGUGCCGAUUUGUAGAAAGGUGAUUAUAAUGAUCUACUCUCAAUUUCUUAAUUCCACCAAAAAAAAUUGCAAAAAGGGCAAAGCCCUAGCUAAUUCUUCACUCGCAAUCGGUACUUAAGAUUUUGUCUCGUUCUCUCUCUGCCCUAUUUUUCUUUCACAGUAUUUUCAUAGAGAUAUAGGAAGGUUUUUGUGCAAUAAUUUUAAGGCUUUGUUUUUAUUUGAAUUAGAUUAAUAUUGGGGUCUUUGUUUGGUUCAGAUUCAUCAUGAAGUUUACAAAUUCCAGUGUUUACUUCAUUUUGUAAAACGGACAGCUCAUCAUUACUAAAUUCUCAGGUAAAUACCUUUUUCUACUGUAAUUUGGUGUUGAAUUUUGCGUGUGCUUGUUCUGUAUAUAUUGAAUUCAAUUUUUCUUCUUUUAAAGUGCUUGUAUUUGUUUCUAUGAAAUUUUUUUCUUUCCCUUUUUCUGUUUUCUUUUGGUUAAUUCCACACAAACAAUUGCUAGCGGCCAAAUGUUGGUUUAAUAAGGAAUGAGAUUGACGAGGUUACAUAUUUGUGGGUUGGUUAGUUACGAGAUUUAUAUUUGGUGUUACUUCCUUUAAUAUUAAUUUUAUUGAUCAAGAGAAAUCAUUUGACUUAAAACAUAUUGUACUAAACGAAUUAUCAAGGUACUUAACUAGCUAGUUGGGUAUGAUCUUAAACUUGUGAUAUGAGUGUCACUCAUGUUCAGCUAUGAUUGUUUCUUUAAUGUGAACACCUACUUUAAGUUGUACUCUGUUUACAGAAAUGUUCAAUAUAUUAUAUACAAAGCGUAUGCAGUAUACCAUACUAGAAAUUCCAUGGUCAAUAAUUUGGUAGGGAUGGUUAUAGCUUUUCUUUAUUUGUCAAGGACCUUAUUAAUUUCUUUCUUUUUUAUUUUAUUUUUGUGGCAUGUACACUUUAGUUUUUCUACAGGUGGAUUUAAAGUGUAUUUGGGUUUAUACUCUUUGGUGUAAAAAUUAUUUGGUACUAUUUUAACUAGCUAGAACGUUAUCCAAUUACUUUUCCUUUACAUAACGCUCACGUUAUAGUUGGUUCAUUUGCAUCUUGUCUUGUUUCUACCAAGUUUUAUGAAACAUUCCUGCUCCAUAAAAGAGUCACAUUUGUUAUUAAAAAAAAUUUGAUAAUUGUAAAAUUAAAAGAAUCCUCCUUUUAUUGGUUUUAGUAUAAAAUGAAUAAUAUCCUCAAGUUCAUCAUUAUAAUUUCAUUAUCAUGCCACCGCUACAUCGUAAAUUACACUUUAUUAUUUAGAGGUCAACAUGAAACAAAUAUACAUCCUUAAUAUUUUUAUUAGACUUUUUUUGUAGGUCGAAGGAACUGGUAAUUAUGGGAAGAUAACUUAGAGCAACUUUAUGGGUAUUUUCCCUUUAUUUUAUUAUUUAGAGGUCAACAUGAAACAAGUAUACAUCCUUAAUAUUUAUAUGGGACUUUUUUUGUAGGCCGAAGGAACUGGUGAUUAUGGGAAGAUAACUUAGAGCUACUUUAUGGGUAUUUUCCCUUCAUUUUGCACUUGUAAAAUGCUCUUACUGUCUAACAUAUAUCCUAUCCCUUUUCCCCCUAGUAUCAUGUUUUUUCCUUCUAGGUAUUGAGCUAAUCCCUCUCUGAUUUUUAUUGUUAACUCUCAAUCUCAAUCCAUUUGUUGAUUAUAUGUGCUGGACAUGGUAAUAACCUUAAUCCUUUUAAUCAAGGCUCUGAGAAUUUAAAGAAAAAGUUGAUCUGCUGAUUACUGUACUAUUAAGUGACAAUUUACUAGUAUUAAUCAUCAGCACUUGCAUCAGUGAGUGGAAAAUUGAAGUUGGGGGUGAGGACAGCAGUCAUAGUAGAACGAGUCUUACAGUAAUUGUGCUCAAUUUAAGACACUAUUGAGUGGUUCUUUGAUGAGAAAUCUUCACUGUAACCGAUUUAUCAAUCAUUUAUCAUAUCUUAUUUUUUUGUUCUGUUAUUCAAUUUCAUUACUUAUUCGUACACCUAAUGAUGAAUAUCUUUUUGGUUCUAUUAAAUUUUUGUUUAUUGGAUCAUGGGAAUAAUCGGUCAUUGGUUUGAUUGAAAGUGUAUUGUGGGGAGUACUAACAAUAGGGUGUAGCUGAAAGUGUAGAUCACUUGUUAUGUGCACUACUUUGAUUUGGUUUGAUAAUUCCUGUUCCGUGUAGUCCAUCAUGAGUGGGAGGAUCACUUGUUGGGUCUUACUUGUUGAUUUCUACCUGCAUCCCACUGUGUUUCACUUUUGUCUUCAAUGAUGGUGGUAUAUUGGAUGGAUUCAUAUUUCAGUUUUCCCUUUCCUUGAUCCUCUUGCCGGACUUGAUGUCUCAGUUAUGAUCCUCAAAGCUGUACUUGAAACUGGUUUAGGAGGUAUUAUUCUUUCUUCUUCUUCCUUUGGUUGCUAUUUGAUUUUUUUUAAUUAAUUGCUAAAUGAUAGACUAGUUUUUUUUUUUGAAAUUACAAGCUUAAGCGAGGGAUGAUUCCAUCAACUGAGGGGUUGAUUGUCAAUGAUAGCAAGAUGAAUUCUACUCAUUGCUUCUUCUUUACUUACUUCAUGGUUGUAUUGCUCAUAGGUUCAUUUUAGAUAGGCUUGCGCAGCCACCUUAAAUGGAUAAAAGGCUCAUUUAAGAGCAAGUAUACUUGCCUCGCAAAACCAGGGACAACUUUGCAUAGUUGGCUUUUAUUCACCUGUCCAAACUGAUUUUGUGAAUCUUAAGAAGGUGAUUAGUAGUUAAACUAAGAUUAUGAACUCACUGAGUGGCAGACUAUAAAUCUCCAUAUGUGACAUGUUUCUGAAUUUUUAAUGUCUUGGAACUGGUGGAUGCUGCAGUCCCAUCGCAUCUUUUGGAUCCUACAAGACUAACUAUUCAACAAGUUCAUGAAUGGCCAGUCAUCAUAUUUCAAAAACGUGUGAUCGCUUAUCAGGUUAAUGGUUAAUCUCACUUAAUUUAAAAUUUUCAAUUUCAUCUUUCCUUAUUCAUCAUCUCAUUGAAUUUUGGUGUUUGUCUUGCAGCAUGAAGUUUACAUGCACAACGUUGAUUUACUUGAAGAAAAUGACAUGAAGUGGACCUAACAUGACACACUUCAUUCCUUCUAGUUCAUUGUUAUUCUUUUAAUUUUCUUAUGUUAGUUAAUAAAUAUUGUAGAUACUAUGGUCUUUUAGACCAAGAUACAAUAAAAAAUUAUGUACUUAUCGUGAUUCGAGCAUUAUCUAUUUAUAUAUGGAGUAUUGGUUUUAUUA